This 487-nucleotide ribosomal RNA is filed under the name uncultured Alphaproteobacteria bacterium. RNAcentral's name for it is "bacterial SSU rRNA". It matches the Rfam family "Bacterial small subunit ribosomal RNA", at positions 38 to 561 of the family's 1533-position model. Lineage: Bacteria; Pseudomonadati; Pseudomonadota; Alphaproteobacteria. The record is from RNAcentral.
GGCGGCAUGCCUAACACAUGCAAGUCGAACGUGAUCCAGGCUUCGGCCUGGUGAAAGUGGCAGACGGGUGAGUAACGCGUGGGAACCUGCCCUGUGGUAGGGAAUAACCGUGGGAAACUGCGGCUAAUACCCUAUGAGUCCUUCGGGAGAAAGAUUUAUCGCCAUAGGAGGGGCCCGCGUCGGAUUAGGUAGUUGGUGGGGUAACGGCCUACCAAGCCUUCGAUCCGUAGCUGGUCUGAGAGGAUGAUCAGCCACACUGGGACCGAGAUACGGCCCAGACUCCUACGGGAGGCAGCAGUGGGGAAUAUUGGACAAUGGGGGCAACCCUGAUCCAGCAAUGCCGCGUGGAUGAUGAAGGCCUUCGGGUUGUAAAGUCCUUUCGGCGGGGAAGAUGAUGACGGUACCCGCAGAAGAAGCCCCGGCUAACUUCGUGCCAGCAGCCGCGGUAAUACNAAAGGGGCUAGCGUUGUUCCGAAUUACUGGGCGU